CUACGUAGGGUGCGAGCGUUGUCCGGAAUUACUGGGCGUAAAGAGCUCGUAGGUGGUUUGUCGCGUCGUCUGUGAAAUUCCGGGGCUUAACUCCGGGCGUGCAGGCGAUACGGGCAUAACUUGAGUACUGUAGGGGAGACUGGAAUUCCUGGUGUAGCGGUGAAAUGGGCAGAUAUCAGGAGGAACACCGGUGGCGAAGGCUGGUCUCUGGGUAGAAACUGACGCUGAGGAGCGAAAGCAUGGGGAGCGAACAGGAUUAGAUACCCUGGUAGUCCAUGCCGUAAACGGUGGGCGCUAGGUGUAGGGGGCUUCAACGCCUUCUGUGCCGUAGCUAACGCAUUAAGCGCCCCGCCUGGGGAGUACGGCCGCAAGGCUAAAACUCAAAGGAAUUGACGGGG
Molecule: ribosomal RNA, 398 nt
Filed under: uncultured bacterium
Lineage: Bacteria
Description: partial 16S ribosomal RNA
Rfam family: Bacterial small subunit ribosomal RNA
Source: RNAcentral